GCCCAGGUGGCGGAAUUGGUAGACGCGCUAGCUUCAGGUGCUAGUUUCCGUAUGGAAGUGGAAGUUCGAGUCUUCUCCUGGGCACCA
This 87-nucleotide transfer RNA is filed under the name Sneathiella chinensis. RNAcentral describes it as "tRNA-Leu". It matches the Rfam family "tRNA". From Rfam's summary of the family: Transfer RNA (tRNA) molecules are approximately 80 nucleotides in length. Their secondary structure includes four short double-helical elements and three loops (D, anti-codon, and T loops). The record is from RNAcentral. RNAcentral also lists the same sequence under 8 other names. Lineage: Bacteria; Pseudomonadati; Pseudomonadota; Alphaproteobacteria; Sneathiellales; Sneathiellaceae.